This 507-nucleotide ribosomal RNA is filed under the name uncultured bacterium. RNAcentral describes it as "bacterial SSU rRNA". It matches the Rfam family "Bacterial small subunit ribosomal RNA", at positions 33 to 507 of the family's 1533-position model. The record is from RNAcentral.
ACGCUGGCGGCGUGCUUAACACAUGCAAGUCGAACGGGAGGAAAAGAGAAGCUUGCUUCUUUUUGAAUCUAGUGGCAAACGGGUGAGUAACACGUAAACAACCUGCCUUCAGGAUGGGGACAACAGACGGAAACGACUGCUAAUACCGAAUGUGUUCCGGAGACCGCAUGAUUUCCGGAAGAAAGGAUGGCCUCUAUUUAUAAGCUAUCGCCUGAAGAGGGGUUUGCGUCUGAUUAGGCAGUUGGUGAGGUAACGGCCCACCAAACCUACGAUCAGUAGCCGGUCUGAGAGGAUGAACGGCCACACUGGAACUGAGACACGGUCCAGACUCCUACGGGAGGCAGCAGUGGGGAAUCUUCCGCAAUGGACGAAAGUCUGACGGAGCAACGCCGCGUGAGUGAUGACGGCCUUCGGGUUGUAAAGCUCUGUGAUCGGGACGAAUGGCUGGUAUGCUAAUACCAUAUCAGAGUGACGGUACCCGAAUAGCAAGCCACGGCUAACUACGUG